AUGCAGCAAGGCCACAUCAACCUAUCUCCGUCGCACAAAGAGGAGACCACCGCAUACGCCAUCCUCGUGCUAAGCGCCGCCGUGGAGUCCACGAGGACCACGUCGCACACGCUGACCUACCAGCUCCAGAAGAACGCGUCCAUCUCCGUCCAGGAAAGGGCGUUCUACGGGGCGUGCCUCACCGACUACGUCGCGGCGUUGAACUCCCUCUACCACACCCUCGUCGUGAUGCUGCCGAACUGCUUCUUUCAGGGGAUCAACGACGACUACCUGAGCGCGUUGGCCAGCGUGAAUAGUUGCAGGGAUCGGUUCAUAGGGCCGGCUAUGUACAUGUCGCCGGUGUACCCCUUGGUUUUGGCCGACCGAAACAAGGCCUUGCUGGCUUACUCGCUUGGCAAGUUGCUGUUAUGA
RNAcentral lists this ribosomal RNA (411 nucleotides) under Triticum aestivum (bread wheat). RNAcentral describes it as "partial small subunit ribosomal RNA". Lineage: Eukaryota; Viridiplantae; Streptophyta; Magnoliopsida; Poales; Poaceae. The record is from RNAcentral.